UAUUCACAUAGUAAUUUAGGAGACACUAUAUAACCGAGAAAACACUAGUUAGGCUGGUAUGUUUUUUUCACCAACCUGCUGUUAGUACUGAGGCAGUGUAUCUGUACUUGUUGAACUCCAGGUACUCCCGGAUUAGCUCGUUGAUGAGGAGGUUUUCAUGGGACAGUGGCGGACGAGGUUCACGCUGGUCAUCCAGGGCACUGAACACUUCUGCCCGGAUGCGAGCCUUGAGCUGGCCCAGCACACCACGGGACUCCAGCGUUUCCCUCACGGCUAAAAUAUUCAGGUUUUAUUGGAUUAAAAACUCAGGUGACCAAAUAACCGGGAGCUUACGUUGCGUUAUGGUAUCUAGGUAUAUUCAGCUACCUUACUGUUAACGUUAACGUUUGCCCUAACAGGCUGUUGUUUCUAAUAGUUGCCGUAACUUACUCCACUCAUUAAUUUGCAAAUUUAAUGUUCCCAAACGUGCUGAAAAAGAUAUGGAUCUCUUACAGUAUUACUCUAUAUCCUACCAGAGUCAUUAGAAACCACUCUUUAAAUCGGAAUACGUGUGAUUACAUACAUGUGUCUGGAUUUCACCAUCUUCGAUUAACAGGACUGCGUCAGCACCUGCUCUUGAGAUUCACUGACAAUGCCCUCCUGGAGAGACGUUUUAAGCUGCCACAAAGCUUGGAAUGGCCCAAUGUAACGUAUGUUGGAGAGCCACACAAACAAGGUGUCACAUCUGUACACCAGGACACCAGCACCAUGGUACGAAGCCCAGUGAAGACCUAGACCAGCCCAGAUUCCCGGCACAUUUGGUAAAACUGUCCCCGAUGUGCGAUGAGGUUGGCUGGAGUGUCCAUCUCAGAAAUGUGGCCUCUGUCCAUGACGAUAACUCUGUGAAGCAGCAACAAAGGAGGAAGACAGCUGUUAGAUCCUGCAUUCUUUGUGACACCUGAUCUAUGUCCACAGCAGCUGUUGCCUCGUCCAAAACCAGGAUCUUGGUUUUCCUCAGCAAGGCCCUGGCCAGGCACACUAGUUGGCGCUGACCCAGACUACACAGACAAAGGCGAGUUGGAGAGAGAGGGACAGAUUCACAUGUUAGAUUCAAUCCUGUAUGUAUCCUGCAGCGUUGUGUGGAUAUCCCUGUAAUGAUAUAGCAGUGACUGACAAGGCAAAACAAUGGCUUGUGGUUAUCUGCACUGCAAUGUGUCAUAUCAGGGUACUCGCGUACCUGAGGUUUUCUCCUCCCUCUGAGCAUUCAUGGUUGAGUUUGUCAGGCAGAUUAGAGACAAAGUUUUUGAGGUGAGCGAGCUCCAGUGAACGCCACAUCUCCUCAUCAGUGUAGGUGUCAAAGGGGUCAAGAUUCAUCCGGAGGGAGCCUGAGAACAGCACGGGGUCCUGGGAGAGAGGACAGCAGAUGUUGCUCAUCACCAAACUGUCCCGAUUGGUUUCAGGAUUAAUACAAUUUAGAAUGGCUUAUUUCACACUGGAUAUGUAUUGCAGCUAUUGCAAACAGUUUAUGUGAUGAAAGCCAGAGCUCAGUUUCUGUUAUUACUACUGUCUUACCUGAGGAAUGAUAGUAAUGCGGGAUCUGAGGUCAUGGAGUCCGAUGUCUGCGAUGUUGACUCCAUCUAUGAAGAUCUUUCCCUUUGCUGCCUCUAAGAUCCUGAAGAUUCCCAGAGCAAGUGAGGACUUCCCCGCUCCUGUCCUACCCACAAUUCCAACCUGGAAAAAAGUUUUUUCAUCAGAAU
Long non-coding RNA from Micropterus dolomieu (smallmouth bass), 1736 nucleotides. RefSeq lists it as uncharacterized. The transcript is spliced from 3 exons. Lineage: Eukaryota; Metazoa; Chordata; Actinopteri; Centrarchiformes; Centrarchidae. The record is from RefSeq and is a predicted model, not a curated record.